AAUCGGAACGUGUAAAGUGGAGCUCAGCCACCAAUCACUUAAAAAAUACUCCCAGGUAAUUCUAAUGUGAGGAUGGGGUUGAUGACCACAGAUCUGGACCCUGCAGAUCCUUAUAGAAGUUUGGGUUUUAUUGAGGAGUUUGGGCUUGAAUCAAAGAGUAAUAAAAAAAAUUUAAUAAAAGCUAGUAUCCAGUUCCGCGCUCGAGUCACUGCGCGCCGGCGGGCUGCAGAAGCUGGUAUGUCGACUGUCCUGCAGAGCAUCGAGCAGCUGUCCAGUCGGGUGGUGCACAUCCUGGGCUGUAACCCAGGACCCAUGACCCUGCAGGGCACCAACACCUACUUGGUAGGGAUCGGCACCAGGAGAAUCCUCAUUGACACUGGAGAACCAGCAAUUCCAGAAUAUAUCAGCUGUUUAAAGCAGGCUCUGACUGAAUUUAACGCAACAAUCCAGGAAAUCAUAGUGACUCAUUGGCACCGUGAUCAUACUGGGGGCAUAGGAGAUAUUUGUAAAAACAUCAAUAAUGACACUGCAUAUUGCAUUAAAAAACUCCCACGGAAUCCUCCGAGAGAAGAAAUUAUAGGAGAUGGAAAGCAACAGUAUGUUUAUCUGGAAGAUGGAGAUGUGAUUAAAACUGAAGCUGCCACUCUCAGAGUUAUACACACACCUGGCCACACUGAUGAUCAUAUGGCUCUACUUUUAGAAGAGGAAAAUGCAGUCUUUUCUGGAGAUUGCAUCCUAGGGGAAGGAACAACUAUAUUUGAAGACCUCUAUGAUUAUAUGAACUCCCUAAAAGAGCUAUUGAAACUCAAAGCUGAUAUUAUAUAUCCAGGACAUGGCCCAGUAAUUCAUAAUGCUAAAGCUAAAAUUCUAGAAUACAUUGCUCACAGAAAUAUCCGAGAACAGCAAAUUCUUACAUUGUUUCGUGAUAAUUUUGAAAAAUCAUUUACAGCAAUGGAGCUUGUAAAAAACAUUUACAAGAAUACUCCUGAGCAUUUAUAUAAAAUGGCUGAACAUAAUGUCUUGCUGCAUUUGAAAAAAUUUAAAAAAGAAGGAAAAAUAUUUAGCAACACGGAUCCUGAGAAGAAAUGGAAAGCUAAUCUUUAGUUUCAGAUUAAUGAAAGCUUUUGUUGGUUUGUUUUAUUUUUAGAGAAUGGUAUGUUUUCUUAACUAUAAUUAUUUAUAGGGAAUAUAGAGUAUAGAACAUUGAAAAUAAUCCUAAAUAUACUUUAAAAUAAUGUCUUAUUCCUUCUAAAAUAUAUAUUACAUUUUACAUGUAUAAUAUAGCUUGCUUAUCUAAUCUGAGUGCUAUAACAUUUUACCAAAAAUUCAGAAUCCAACAGUUUAUCCAUGUUC
Non-coding RNA from Callorhinus ursinus (northern fur seal), 1353 nucleotides. The record is from RefSeq and is a predicted model, not a curated record. Lineage: Eukaryota; Metazoa; Chordata; Mammalia; Carnivora; Otariidae.